AGAGUGAACGCUGGCGGCAGGCCUAACACAUGCAAGUCGAACGGCAGCACAGGGGAGCUUGCUCCCUGGGUGGCGAGUGGCGGACGGUGAGGAAUACAUCGGAAUCUGCCCAAUCGUGGGGGAUAACGUAGGGAAACUUACGCUAAUACCGCAUACGACCUUCGGGUGAAAGCGUGGGACCGCAAGGCCACGCGCGAUUGGAUGAGCCGAUGUCGGAUUAGCUUGUGGCGGGUAAAGCCCGACAAGGCGACGAUCCGUAGCUGGUCUGAGAGGAUGAU
This 278-nucleotide ribosomal RNA is filed under the name uncultured soil bacterium. RNAcentral's name for it is "partial 16S ribosomal RNA". It matches the Rfam family "Bacterial small subunit ribosomal RNA", at positions 26 to 304 of the family's 1533-position model. The record is from RNAcentral.